This 391-nucleotide long non-coding RNA is filed under the name Mytilus galloprovincialis (Mediterranean mussel). Lineage: Eukaryota; Metazoa; Mollusca; Bivalvia; Mytilida; Mytilidae. The record is from RNAcentral.
UUUUAAACAGAUAUAUCAUGUUAAGGAGGGGUAUUUGCGAAAAAUACCAGUCGAGAGAAUGUUAAAUUUCACGAGCCGUAAGGCGAGGGAAAUUCAUUCUCAAGACUGGUAUUUUUCGCAAAUACCCCUCAAGAACAUGCUAUAUUUGUUUAAUUACACCGAAUGUUAAUGUUCAAAAACGCUUUGAUGAUCGUGACGUUACAAGCGUCCAAUCGGAUAGAGUAUUUUUUGGCAAAUACCACGGCAGAGAGGGUAAAAAAGGCAAAUCCUUUUGGCAAAUACCCUGGCGGCAUAAAAAAUGAACGAUAUUCAUUUGAAAACAGUAAAUUGGUGAAAAAUACACUAGCUAUCAACCAAUCAAAAUCCAGGAUUCUUACAUAAGGUGUAAUUA